Molecule: ribosomal RNA, 500 nt
Filed under: uncultured bacterium
Lineage: Bacteria
Description: bacterial SSU rRNA
Rfam family: Bacterial small subunit ribosomal RNA
Source: RNAcentral
CGGGUGAGUNACGCGUGGGAACAUACCUUUUGGUUCGGAACAACACAGGGAAACUUGUGCUAAUACCGGAUAAGCCCUUACGGGGAAAGAUUUAUCGCCGAAAGAUUGGCCCGCGUCUGAUUAGCUAGUUGGUGAGGUAACGGCUCACCAAGGCGACGAUCAGUAGCUGGUCUGAGAGGAUGAUCAGCCACAUUGGGACUGAGACACGGCCCAAACUCCUACGGGAGGCAGCAGUGGGGAAUAUUGGACAAUGGGCGCAAGCCUGAUCCAGCCAUGCCGCGUGAGUGAUGAAGGCCCUAGGGUUGUAAAGCUCUUUUGUGCGGGAAGAUAAUGACGGUACCGCAAGAAUAAGCCCCGGCUAACUUCGUGCCAGCAGCCGCGGUAAUACGAAGGGGGCUAGCGUUGCUCGGAAUCACUGGGCGUAAAGGGUGCGUAGGCGGGUCUUUAAGUCAGGGGUGAAAUCCUGGAGCUCANCUCCAGAACUGCCUUUGAUACUGAAG